Molecule: non-coding RNA, 1825 nt
Organism: Marmota flaviventris (yellow-bellied marmot)
Lineage: Eukaryota; Metazoa; Chordata; Mammalia; Rodentia; Sciuridae
Source: RefSeq, a predicted model, not a curated record
GAGGAUGUGCGGCAGGGGCUCAGGCCCAGUGCACAGAGGUGCUGGGCUAGCACUGAGGGGAGGCUGGAGGCUGAGCCUGGGGGCCUGGUGAGGGAGGAGAACUGAGAGGCCAGCACCACCCUCAGAGGCACCAGUGGUCCAGUCCAGCAGAGGAACAGGGAGAGGAAUGAGCCGUCAGCCCAGAGCCAGGACACACUUGGUCCCUGGAGAACUCUACGUGUGAGCAGAGCAGAGCUGGUCAGCCUUCCCGGCCUCAGCCUCCUUCUCUGGCUUUGCUUUUCUGGCCCCUCCCCACCUCCCCUCCCCAGUGGCUGGCGCCUGGCUCUCCCUCCUGACCAGCCCAGCCUUUGGCUGUCUCUGCCCCCAGGUCGCCUCUUCUUUGUUUCUGACUCCUUCCCCCAGUGACUUCCUCCUGCAGGGUGGAAUCAGGCAGAGGCGGGAGGCGGGGCUGGCAGGAGGCAGGGCGUAGGAGGGGUGAGCCCAGAAACCCACGGGGCUCUAGGUGAGCUCCGGAGUUCUCCCUGGAUCCCCUGAGCCACACAAGACAGGCAGGGGAGACCCCAGGCCCUGGGGGUGCUGGGCAGCCGGAACCCCCAGACUGCCUUGAAAUUCUUCAGGACUGGGUGCCCCUGCACGACGAGCCGUGCAUCCACCCCCACGACUCUGUUCCCACUUUCUCAGCUCUUGGCCUGGCUGGGGGCAGGAGGGAUGAACGACGGUGGAGCCUGACCUGGGUCUGACGGCCCACGAACAAUGAUGCACCUGGAGACACUCAGGGCCCUUCCUUCUCUGGCUGCGAGGACUGGUGAGGGCACAGGGCAGGGUCCUGCAGAGGGGCUCAGUGAACAGAAAGUCGAAGUCAGUAAGACAAGUGAGUCUCAGUCCCAGUUCUCUGGAGCCUUCCUAGAAUCACGGUGAUGUGAUGGGUAAGAAUCAAAUGCUCCCCCUCGCUUCCCAGAGGCAGUCAAGUGGUGGUGAAGGCCUGGGCCACUUCCUCGCUGCAGGGCCUGGCCGGCUUGGCCAGCACACAGGAGGGCUGUGUUGGCACCAGCGUGGAGGACAGCAAAGGGGGGACAGAGCUGGGAACCCAACGCUGACGCCUCCCACGUGUCUCCCUCUCUCCACGACCCUGUCUGGACCUCUCCCACCAGUUUCUCCUCCUCCCCAAGGGGACCGAAGCUCCAUCUGGCUCCCCAGUCCCCCAAGAUACCCCGGGUGGUGCUCCAGUCUCUGCCCGUCUGGGCCCAGGGGUGGCAGUGCGGCCAGGAGGGCGUCUCUCCCUACCCUCGCCCUUCUGGGGGCCGUCAUCCUGCAGGGCUUCCCAGAGGAUUGCCACCCAUCUUCCCCUCCUCCCUCGGGAAGCCCUGCCAGCUAGAGACGGCCUCUCUCUCCUUGUCCCCUUAGGUCCUGGCGGAAACGAGGGAGCUGCAGCGGGGCCCAGGCAGCCAGGGCAGGAUGGCGACUGAGGAGGUCGGGGCAGGGCCGGACCGAGGAGCGUGGAGAGGGUCUUCUGAUGAGGCCCCCUUGCUGCUUGAUGAAAGACCUCGUGGACUCGUGGGGACCUGACGAGCAGACACUUCUGCACUCGUGCUCCCUAGCAGGGGACCCAAUAGAAAAACUAAAACAGACACGGGGACACGGGGGGCACCAACCUAUAACAGCGAGGAGCACGUGGACAGGGAGGAGAGAAGGACGGGAGGAAACUCCAGAGGCCAUAAAAGGAACAGGCCCAACUCCCCAGCAGACUCCCAGCUCUGGGGCCUUCUCUCCCGAGAAGUCUCCCUCUGUAUCUUUUGUCUUUCAACAAACCUGCUUCUGCUGCUGU